Small nuclear RNA from Rattus norvegicus (Norway rat), 62 nucleotides. Ensembl annotates it as U7 small nuclear RNA. NCBI's taxonomy places the organism in Eukaryota, Metazoa, Chordata, Mammalia, Rodentia, Muridae. The record is from Ensembl.
AGCUAUUAAAGCUCUUUUAAAAAUUUUCUAGCAGGUGUUCAGACUUAGGUUGGAAAACCCAA